GCCCAUUAUGGGAGGGCCCAAUGAGAAUCCAAUUUGAGUUAUGCUAAGUCCCCUCUCUAAUCUAGAUAAAAAGGGUUUAUCUGUUUUCCCAUUGAGCCACCAUAGCUAUUAUCAAGAUCAUAGAGAGGAAGACUUGGCUACAACAAUCAAUCACGUUUUUUUAUCAUUGCUCAAACAGAAUUUUGGACCCAAUGCUGGAGGUUGAAGAUGACCUCCAACACAUGCCACACGUGCCACAUGUGUCACACGUUCCCCACUCGCGAGUCAAGUGUGUAAGGUGCGUAUAACCUCAUCUGGUGUUCGUUUUGAGCUCCGUUUUUUCUUGUGCGCUCGUUUUUUUGUAAUCUAUUUUUCUAGAUAUAUUAUUUUAUUUUUGGGGGGUCUAAAAUAUUUAUUAAAUAAUUAUUACUUAUUUAUGUCAUUUGAUUAGCUUAAAAUUAUUUUUUUGGUAUAAUUUUCUAUUGAGAAUUUACCAGAAAUUAUGUUAAUAUAUAUGGAAUAGGAGUGUAGUACUCACUCUCUCUAGAUUGAAACUUUUUCAUGCAUACUCUCCUACUUGGUCUAAAUCACAUAAACUAGUUAAAUAAUUAAUUUAAAGUGUAAUAAAUAAAUAAAUAAUUGUUGUUCAAAUUCUUGCAACUAUAAUUGAUCAUAUGCAUAUAUAUCGCUAAUAUGCACUAUUGUUGUUGGGCAAUUUUUUUUUUUAAUUUACCCAAUUUUGGAACGUUGCAUGUGAAUUGUUGAGGUUAUUUUACCAAAGUGAUUUAACCAUCAAAAUUUGCAAGUUUAUGAGUUUCUAUUUUGUUGAUGGGGAAAAUUUUAGAUUAAUUUGUACAAUCGCCUGCCCAAAGGGGGUUAUUGUGCAAAUUAAUUUAACAACAUGAGGAUAUUGAAUGAGAUAAAUAAUUUGAUAAAUUUAUUUGCCCAAAGGAAAUAAAUUUUAAUGAAUUAUUUGUUGAUCUUCAUGCUUAAAGAAUAGUUGUUUAUUGUGGACUUUGCCCAAAGGGGAGUUUAUGAUAGUACAAUUGAUUCUUGUAUUGUAUUGCUUAUGCUUAUUUAAGUUUUUUUUACCUAUUGCCCAUAAUUGAUCUAGUUGAAAAAUUUUGUCAAUCAGUUUCCUUUGUUGUGAACAAUAAUGCUACAAUUGAAAUUCUAAGUGGGUCGAACUAUAAGAGAUGGAGAUCAGACAUAGAGUUUGUUUUAGGAAUGAUGGAUAUUGUGAUUUAUUGUGACAAUAAUGCAGUUGUGUUCUACUCUAAGAACAAUAAGAUUAGUACGGGUUCUAAGCAUAUGGAAAUCAAGUACCUUACAGUCAAGGACUUAGUGAAGAAAGGAGAUAUUGUGAUUGAGCACAUAAGAACUGAGUCCAUGCUAGCUGAUCCUCUAACCAAAGGUUUAAAGCCCAUAACGUUCAAGGAACAUGUUGUGAAUAUGGGUGUCAUUAAGUCUUUUGAUUCUUUGGUUUAGUGGGAGCUUUUGUGAUUUCCCUUAUUUCAAUUAUUGUUUUAUGCAAACAUUGAUCAUUAUUGUUCUGCAACUUGCAAAAUUAAAAUCUUUUUAUUAUGAUCAUCAUAAUUAUGUAUUAUAUUAUAGUAUGUCGUAAUUGAAUUACAUACAAUAUGGUAUCUUGAGAUAUUGAACCUUAAGAAUUACAGUUGUAUACUAUUGGAUGUCACAAAUACCACUAUUUUGAGAUUUUGUGGUGCAUUGUUGGUGACAUAUGACUUGUUAAAGUCAAGCAAUUUCAUAUUGUUUAGAAAUUGCAGCAAUUUCAUUUUGUUGAGAAAUUGCAAUUACAAUUUCAUUUUGCUGGUAAAUUGUAAUGAGGACUGAUAAGAAACAAUGCAUAUAGAUGAUGAUCACAUGUUGGCAUUGAUUUCUUACUACACUACUGGGUUUGCGAUCCAUGUCGAUAUGGUUAUAAAUAUUCGUGACUAUAAGGGGCAUUAUGUUUGUUGAGAUUAACAUAUAGACCAUUAUAGUCCAAUAUUAAGAACAUGUUGGACCGGAUAAGUUUAACAAGAUGCUAUUUAUAGACUAUCAUUUCUUUCAAAAAAAACAAAAAGGUGUGGCCACACAAAAUAAACUUUUCUAUAUUUAACCCGAGAGUCUUAUUUUCAAAAUGAAUUUAAUGAAUCCUCAAAAACAAUUAAUGUAGCCCAAGUGGGAGAAUGUUGGAAAAUUUUUAUAUGGGCUAACAUUAAUUGAAUAAUUUGUAUUUGCAAAAACGGGUUAAUGGAUAGUCUAUUCUAUAAUGAGCCCAAUUAAUUAGUGAUCACAUUUUAGAUUGGGUUUUGCAUCUUUUGAGUAGAAGCUCAGUUGAAUGGCAAGUGUAGGCUAUGGGUCUCAUUGAAGCCCAUUAUGGGAGGGCCCAAUGAGAAUCCAAUUUGAGUUAUGCUAAGUCCCCUCUCUAAUCUAGAUAAAAAGGGUUUAUCUGUUUUCCCAUUGAGCCACCAUAGCUAUUAUCAAGAUCAUAGAGAGGAAGACUUGGCUACAACAAUCAAUCACGUUUUUUUUAUCAUGACUCAAAUAGGUAUUUUCUUUAUAGUGAUUUCCUAUUGUUAGUAUCCUUUAAUCAUGUAUGAUUAAUCUAUGUGAUUAUGUAAAUAUUUUACAUGGUAAUGUUGGAAAAUUUUUAUAUGGGCUAACAUUAAUUGAAUAAUUUGUAUUUGCAAAAACGGGUUAAUGGAUAGUCUAUUCUAUAAUGAGCCCAAUUAACUAGUGAUCACAUUUUGGAUUGGGUUUUGCAUCUUUUGAGUAGAAGCUCAGUUGAGUGGCAAGUGUAGGCUAUGGGUCUCAUUGAAGCCCAUUAUGGGAGGACCCAAUGAGAAUCCAAUUUGAGUUAUGCUAAGUCCCCUCUCUAAUCUAGAUAAAAGGGUUUAUCUGUUUUUCCAUAGAGCCACCAUAGCUGUUAUCAAGAUCAUAGAGAGGAAGACUUGGCUACAACAAUCAAUCACAUUUUUUUAUCAUUGCUCAAACAGUUGUGUUCUACUCUAAGAACAAUAAGAUUAGUACGGGUUCUAAGCAUAUGGAAAUCAAGUACCUUACAGUCAAGGACUUAGUGAAGAAAGGAGAUAUUGUGAUUGAGCACAUAAGAACUGAGUCCAUGCUAGCUGAUCCUCUAAUCAAAGGUUUAAAGCCCAUAACGUUCAAGGAACAUGUUGUGAAUAUGGGUGUCAUUAAGUCUUUUGAUUCUUUGGUUUAGUGGGAGCUUUUGUGAUUUCCCUUAUUUCAAUUAUUGUUUUAUGCAAACAUUGAUCAUUAUUGUUCUGCAACUUGCAAAAUUAAAAUCUUUUUAUUAUGAUCAUCAUA
Molecule: long non-coding RNA, 3312 nt
Organism: Vitis vinifera (wine grape)
Lineage: Eukaryota; Viridiplantae; Streptophyta; Magnoliopsida; Vitales; Vitaceae
Exons: 3
Source: RefSeq, a predicted model, not a curated record